AAAGUCGUAACAAGGUCUCCGUAGGUGAACCUGCGGAGGGAUCAUUCACAUGAUUACUUUUAUUUAAACAAACUGUGAACUUUAUAUAUAUACUAUUCGUGUUGUUGAUUUUAAAUCAAUAACAUUGUCAUUCGUUGAACAUAAGAUAGUUGGCUUGUAUUCAUCUUUUUGAUGUUUUACUUUCUCAGCUUUGAUUUGUAUAGAAACUUAAACACUUUCUAUCAAUCAACCAUAAACAUAGAAACAACUCUAUGCCCUGGAUAUCUUGGUUCUC
Molecule: unclassified non-coding RNA, 274 nt
Filed under: Ascomycota sp.
Lineage: Eukaryota; Fungi; Ascomycota
Description: partial contains small subunit ribosomal RNA, internal transcribed spacer 1, and 5.8S ribosomal RNA
Rfam family: Eukaryotic small subunit ribosomal RNA (bases 1-47)
Source: RNAcentral